UCAUCAUGGUGUUCACAUAGUCACAUAAUAUCCAACAAAUGCUAUUCUCAUGAAUGAUCAAUUAGCUAAGGAUAGAUAUAACCAUAGGUUUAUGGAUUCCUUCCUCACCAGAUAAGGUGUUUCACUUAAGCACUCAAAAGUAUUUCACUCAAAGGUGUAUAAAGGUCACUCCUUCCCUCUACUAUCAAUAUGUCACAUAGAACAAAAUUGCCUUUCAUUUACCAGAAUCAAACAUUCUCACACACACAUGUCAUCACAAGGACUUUUUCAUGGUUUAUAAUGAGGCUGGGCUAAUAAAAAAAAUUGGCUUUUCUAGGUCACAAAAUCCUUGAGUUAAGAAAGUUAUUCAACAUUCAUCAUUCAAGCACAAACUCUCAUUAAGCAACCAAUCUCACUCACUCCCAACUUUCCCCUUUUUGCAUUGAGCUUAUCUUUCAUUCUAUCUUUUCCACCUUUUUCUAUCUUUUCAUCUUUUUCAUGCUUUGCUCAACACUUUAGCUCAAUGCUUAUCUUCUCUUUUUCAAUCUUCCCAACAACCCCAAACUUGAACCUU
Molecule: long non-coding RNA, 553 nt
Filed under: Vigna radiata
Lineage: Eukaryota; Viridiplantae; Streptophyta; Magnoliopsida; Fabales; Fabaceae
Description: long non-coding RNA (VRAD_LNC000600)
Source: RNAcentral